GAGUCAGAGCAGGCAGGAAAACGAUGGACUGAGUUUAACAGAAGGGUUUUCAGGUCUUGGCAGCCAUGCUGAUGAGAUGGAUCUGGUUUAUUGUUCCCAUGUCGUUUUGCAUUGAACAAGACCCGUUCUCAGUGGUGGUUCCUCGGGCUCCGGUCUACGGUCUGCUCGGGAGCUCCGUGACUCUACCCUGCUCUAUCUCACCACCUUUAAACGCUGUAAACUUUGAGGUUCUCUGGUUUCGUCCUCAGGAGGCUCACACCCCCAUUCUGUUUUAUCAGGACCUGGAGAUCAGGAAGAAUCCUAGAA
Molecule: long non-coding RNA, 306 nt
Organism: Astyanax mexicanus (Mexican tetra)
Lineage: Eukaryota; Metazoa; Chordata; Actinopteri; Characiformes; Acestrorhamphidae
Exons: 4
Source: RefSeq, a predicted model, not a curated record